GCGCUCGUCGUCUAAUGGCUAUGAUGUCAGAUUCCUAGCUUGCUUAAGCAUCUGAAGGUUCCGGGUUCGAGUCCCGGCGGGCGUA
This is a non-coding RNA of Fomitopsis schrenkii, 85 nucleotides long. Lineage: Eukaryota; Fungi; Basidiomycota; Agaricomycetes; Polyporales; Fomitopsidaceae. The record is from the annotation of a GenBank genome assembly.